UAGAGAGUGGUAUAGUGGGAGUACGGAGGGUUUUGAUCUCUCAGGUGCAGGUUCAAUUCCUGUCUCUCUAAA
This 72-nucleotide transfer RNA is filed under the name Kaloula conjuncta negrosensis. Its description in RNAcentral is "tRNA-Gln". It matches the Rfam family "tRNA". Rfam says of the family: Transfer RNA (tRNA) molecules are approximately 80 nucleotides in length. Their secondary structure includes four short double-helical elements and three loops (D, anti-codon, and T loops). Lineage: Eukaryota; Metazoa; Chordata; Amphibia; Anura; Microhylidae. The record is from RNAcentral.